AUUGAACGCUGGCGGCAGGCCUAACACAUGCCAGUCGAGCGGAUGAAGGGAGCUUGCUCCUGGAUUCAGCGGCGGACGGGUGAGUAAUGCCUAGGAAUCUGCCUGGUAGUGGGGGAUAACGUCCGGAAACGGGCGCUAAUACCGCAUACGUCCUGAGGGAGAAAGUGGGGGAUCUUCAGACCUCACGCUAUCAGAUGAGCCUAGGUCGGAUUAGCUAGUUGGUGGGGUAAAGGCCUACCAAGGCGACGAUCCGUAACUGGUCUGAGAGGAUGAUCAGUCACACUGGAACUGAGACACGGUCCAGACUCCUACGGGAGGCAGCAGUGGGGAAUAUUGGACAAUGGGCGAAAGCCUGAUCCAGCCAUGCCGCGUGUGUGAAGAAGGUCUUCGGAUUGUAAAGCACUUUAAGUUGGGAGGAAGGGCAGUAAGUUAAUACCUUGCUGUUUUGACGUUACCAACAGAAUAAGCACCGGCUAACUUCGU
Molecule: ribosomal RNA, 483 nt
Filed under: uncultured bacterium
Lineage: Bacteria
Description: partial 16S ribosomal RNA
Rfam family: Bacterial small subunit ribosomal RNA
Source: RNAcentral